AGAGUUUGAUCCUGGCUCAGAUUGAACGCUGGCGGCAUGCUUUACACAUGCAAGUCGAACGGCAGCACGGGGGCAACCCUGGUGGCGAGUGGCGAACGGGUGAGUAAUGCAUCGGAACGUAUCCUUAAGUGGGGGAUAACGCAUCGAAAGAUGCGCUAAUACCGCAUAAUCUCUGAGGAGAAAAGCAGGGGAUCGCAAGACCUUGCGCUUUUGGAGCGGCCGAUGUCUGAUUAGCUAGUUGGUGAGGUAAAGGCUUACCAAGGCUUCGAUCAGUAGCUGGUCUGAGAGGACGACCAGCCACACUGGGACUGAGACACGGCCCAGACUCCUACGGGAGGCAGC
Molecule: ribosomal RNA, 342 nt
Filed under: uncultured bacterium
Lineage: Bacteria
Description: bacterial SSU rRNA
Rfam family: Bacterial small subunit ribosomal RNA
Source: RNAcentral